GCGGUCGGCGCCUCACAGUUCUAAAGGGUUGGCCACAUCCCUGACUAAUUGUGGCAAAAACAAACGACGGAUGGAAGAGGAAGAAUUGUCUUCAAAUUGUCAAAAAUCAGAGAAUUGCGAUAAUGUUUGAAAACAUAUACGUGAAACGGCGAAUGCAUGGUUUUAGAAGUGCUUUACGUUGUGAAUUGGUCCAAGGAAAACGCUUAAAAAAGAAAGGUUUGUCCGACGACAUCUUGUGCUGCGACUAAACAUGGUUUAGUGCACACGCCCAAAUACAGUGCGCGAUCAGACGAUCCCACUAACAGCCACUAUCCCCUCGGAUAGCAAAAAUAAAUGGCUUUCCCGGUCAAUACCGGGGAAAGUUGGAAUUUGCCAAUCCAAGAAUGUGAUUCCCCACAUCAUCCUAUGACGACGAAGCGCCACGUUCUUCGUCAUGGGUGUGGUGAUGAUCAAAAACCCAAAACAAGCAAAAAAUACAAAAAAAAAUAAACAAAACCGAACUGUGAGGUCGGAGGAACUGAGGAAUGCAUGCCUCGCUCCUCUUUGAUCGCUUUUUGCCCUUUUACUACAAGAACUACGCAUAAGGAAGGAAAGCUACACUCAUUCAC
RNAcentral lists this long non-coding RNA (608 nucleotides) under Drosophila guanche. Lineage: Eukaryota; Metazoa; Arthropoda; Insecta; Diptera; Drosophilidae. The record is from RNAcentral.